GACCAUACUGGGACCAGUAGGGCCAGCCUGGAGAGUCCUGGACCAUACUGGGACCAGUACAGCCAUGCCUCUGAAGGGUCCCCAGUAUGCUGGGACCAGUAAGGCCAGCCUGGAGAGUCCCAGAUCAUGUUGGGACCAGUACAGCCAUGCCCCUGAAGGGUCUCCACCAUGCUGGGACCAGUAGGGCCAGCCUGGAAAGUCCCAGAACAUACUGGGACCAGUACAGCCAACCUGGAGGGUCCUGGACCAUACUGGGACCAGUACAGCCACCCUGGAGGGUCCCCACCAUGCUGGGACCAGUAGGGCCAGCCUGGAGAGCCCCAGAACAUACUGGGACCAGUAAGGCCAGCCUGGGAAGUCCUGGAUCACGUUGGGACCAGUAGGGCCACCCCCUGAAGGGUCCCCAUCAUGCUGGGACCAGUAGGGUCAACCUGGAGGGUCCCCACCAUACUCGGCCACGGGAUGCGGAUUUUGUGGCCUCAGGAUGCAGGAUGCGUGGCCACGGGAUGCGGAUUUUGUGGCCUCAGGAUGCAGGAUGCUUGGCCACAGGAUGCGGGAUGUGCAGCUGUGGAUGCUCAACCAUGGGAUGUGGGAUACGUGGCCAAAGGAUGCAGGAUGUGCAGCUGUGGGAUGCUCGGCCAUGGGAUGCGGAUUUUGUGGCCUCAGGAUGCAGGAUACGUGGCCACGGGAUGUGGGAUGUGCAGCCGUGGGAUGCUCAACCAUGGGAUGCGGGAUGCCCGGCCACAGGAUGCAGAUUGUGUGGCCACAGGAUGCAGAUUGUGUGGCCACAGGAUGCAAGAUACGUGGCCACAGGAUGCAGGAUGUGCAGCCACGGGAUGCUCAACCAUGGGAUGCUGGAUGCUCAGCCAUGGGAUGCAGAUUGUGUGGCCACAGGAUGCAGGAUGUGCAGCUGUGGAUGCUCAGCCAUGGGAUGCAGGAUGCCUGGCCACGGAAUGCAGAUUGUGUGGAUGCAGGAUUCAGGAUGCCCAGCCACAGGAUGUGGGAUGCCUGGCCAGGGGAUGCGGGAUGUGCAGCCACGGGAUGCAGAUUGUGUGGCCACAGGAUGCAGGAUGUGCAGCUGUGGAUGCUCAACCACAGGAUGCAGGAUGCCUGGCCAUGGGAUGCAGGAUAUGCAGCCGUGGGAUGCUCAACCACGGGAUGCAGGAUGUGCAGCUGUGGAUGCUCCACCACAGGAUGCGGGAUGCUCGGCCAUGGGAUGCAGGAUGUGCAGCCGUGGGAUGCCCAGCCAUGGGAUGCAGGAUGCUUGGCCACGGGAUGCAGAUUGUGUGGAUGCAGGAUGCAGGAUUCUCGGCUGCAGGAUGCAGAUUGUGUGGCCACAGGAUGCAGGAUGUGCAGCCACGGGAUGCUCGGCCACGGGAUGCAGAUUGUGUGGCUGCAGGAUGCGGGAUGUCCAGCCAUGGGAUGCAGGAUGGUUGGCCACGGGAUGCAGGAUGUGCAGCCAUGAGAUGCCCAGCCACGGGAUGCGGGAUGCUCGGCCAUGCAGCCAUGGGAUGCAGGAUGGUUGGCCACGGGAUGCAGGAUGUGCAGCCAUGAGAUGCCCAGCCACGGGAUGCGGGAUGCUCGGCCAUGGG
This 1592-nucleotide long non-coding RNA is filed under the name Calidris pugnax (ruff). RNAcentral's name for it is "lncRNA (ENSCPUG00000007917.1)". Lineage: Eukaryota; Metazoa; Chordata; Aves; Charadriiformes; Scolopacidae. The record is from RNAcentral.